This 303-nucleotide ribosomal RNA is filed under the name uncultured bacterium. RNAcentral describes it as "partial 16S ribosomal RNA". It matches the Rfam family "Bacterial small subunit ribosomal RNA", at positions 507 to 809 of the family's 1533-position model. The record is from RNAcentral.
AGCAGUCGCCGCGGUAAUACGAAGGGUGCAAGCGUUACUCGGAAUUGCUGGGCGUAAAGCGCACGCAGGCGGUUUGUUAAGUCAGAUGUGAAAUCCCCGAGCUUAACUUGGGAACUGCAUUUGAAACUGGCAAGCUAGAGUCUUGUAGAGGGGGGUAGAAUUCCAGGUGUAGCGGUGAAAUGCGUAGAGAUCUGGAGGAAUACCGGUGGCGAAGGCGGCCCCCUGGACAAAGACUGACGCUCAGGUGCGAAAGCGUGGGGAGCAAACAGGAUUAGAUACCCCCGUAGUCCUGUCUCUUAUACA